RNAcentral lists this ribosomal RNA (508 nucleotides) under uncultured bacterium. RNAcentral's name for it is "partial 16S ribosomal RNA". It matches the Rfam family "Bacterial small subunit ribosomal RNA", at positions 28 to 523 of the family's 1533-position model. The record is from RNAcentral.
GAUGAACGCUAGCUACAGGCUUAACACAUGCAAGUCGAGGGGAAACGACAUCGAAAGCUUGCUUUUGAUGGGCGUCGACCGGCGCACGGGUGAGUAACGCGUAUCCAACCUGCCCACCACUUGGGGAUAACUUUGCGAAAGUAAGACUAAUACCCAAUGACGUCUCUAGAGGACAUCUGAAAGAGAUUAAAGAUUUAUCGGUGAUGGAUGGGGAGGCGUCUGAUUAGCUUGUGAGCGGGGUAACGGCCCACCAAGGCGACGAUCAGUAGGGGUUCUGAGAGGAAGGUCCCCCACAUUGGAACUGAGACACGGUCCAAACUCCUACGGGAGGCAGCAGAGAGGAAUAUUGGUCAAUGGACGAGAGUCUGAACCAGCCAAGUAGCGUGCAGGAUGACGGCCCUAUGGGUUGUAAACUGCUUUUAUAAGGGAAUAAAGUGAGAGUCGUGACUCUUUUUGCAUGUACCUUAUGAAUAAGGACCGGCUAAUUCCGUGCCAGCCGCCGCCGUAA